Non-coding RNA from Arachis ipaensis, 1193 nucleotides. The record is from RefSeq and is a predicted model, not a curated record. NCBI's taxonomy places the organism in Eukaryota, Viridiplantae, Streptophyta, Magnoliopsida, Fabales, Fabaceae.
GUGAAUUAAACAAACAAUAUUUAUAGUAUUCAUAUAUUACACCUUAUAAGAGUUGCUUUUAAAUAUAUAAUAAACUUAUGGUAGUGAACAUUGCUUAAAUCUUUUUCAUCAAAAUUUUAAUUCCCUCCAAAUAUUUUAAUAAAACUUACUUUCCUUGCUAAACCAAAAACAAGAAAGGAAACACGAGCAAUAAUUGAUUCAUCACCUUCCUCACUAACAUGAAUUCAAGUAUACUUAGAAACAGAACUCAAUUCCUACCAUUUUAGAAUCAAAAUCCUAACCCCAACCUUAGCUCAAUUUCCCCAAUUUCACGACAUUGACUCGCGUUCUGUGUUCCUUUCUCUCGACGUCAUGGUAUUCUUCACUGCUCUGCUCGCGUCAUGUUCUGCUCCGCUGCUUGCAUCACGUUCUGCUCUGCUCUGCUUUGCUCGUGUCAUGUGCUUCUUCUCACAUCGUGUUCUACUCUACUCCGCCAUGUUCGAUCUUCAGCUCGCGUCAUUCUGAAACAUUCGCUUUGCUCCGCCGUAGUGUCGUCCACAUCUUCCUCUCAAAAUUUUACUGCAUGCUGAUCUAUAAUUUGGACAGCACAGGCUUUGCAAUUCUUUUGCAGUUUCAUUUAAGCUCUAUGAUUUGGACAGCACAUGCUUUAUAGAAUGCCAAGAGGUAGCUAUUCUAUUUAUUUGAUGCUUCAGGAUGUAAGUAAGCUAUUUUUUUAUGGAGGAAGAGGUUGAUAGAUUCCGCAAAGUUCAAGAGAGUUUCUUGCCAAGUUCUUCAACUCUCAGUAUACUUGAAUUCAUAUUGCUGAUAAUGGCAAAACUCUGUCGUUGUUCAUAGAGCUUCAAACCUUAGGUGACAGGACAUGAAGAAGCUGGCAUUUGAUCACAUAAUUCAUAGUAUUAAGUGAACCAGAAGUAUAAGAAAAAAGCGAAGAACCAUGCUCUGAAAGUGUCUUGUUUUCAAUGCUAUAGGAAGAGGAUGAAGCAUGAGUUAAGAAAGCGCUUGUGACACUAUGUGAACUUCACAGAAGAAAAGAUUGGUUUCACGAGAGAACAACUAAUAUAAUGUUCACUAUUUGUUUCCAUCCAGCACCAAGGAUUUUAUUUUCCCCUUUAUAUUUUGUGAUUGUGCGUCUGUUUUGAAAUUCUGAUCUUAGGCAUAAAGAUAGUUUUGGGUGUUAUCAGGAUCAUGAAAGC